Molecule: ribosomal RNA, 458 nt
Filed under: uncultured bacterium
Lineage: Bacteria
Description: bacterial SSU rRNA
Rfam family: Bacterial small subunit ribosomal RNA
Source: RNAcentral
GCACAAGCGGUGGAGCAUGUGGUUCAAUUCGACGCAACGCGAAGAACCUUACCUGGGCUCGAAAUGUAGUGGAUCGAGGUAGAAAUAUCUCUUUCUCGCAAGGGACUGCUAUAUAGGUGCUGCAUGGCUGUCGUCAGCUCGUGUCGUGAGAUGUUGGGUUAAGUCCCGCAACGAGCGCAACCCUUAUCUUUAGUUGCCAUCAGGUCAAGCUGGGCACUCUAACGAAACCGCACAGGAUAACUGUGAGGAAGGUGGGGAUGACGUCAAGUCCUCAUGGCCUUUAUGUCCAGGGCUACACACGUGCUACAAUGGUCGGUACAAACCGUCGCAAACCUGCGAAGGGGAGCUAAUCGGAAAAAGCCGGCCUCAGUUCGGAUUGGAGUCUGCAACUCGACUCCAUGAAGCUGGAAUCGCUAGUAAUCGCAGAUCAGAACGCUGCGGUGAAUACGUUCCCGGGC